Molecule: ribosomal RNA, 253 nt
Filed under: uncultured bacterium
Lineage: Bacteria
Description: partial 16S ribosomal RNA
Rfam family: Bacterial small subunit ribosomal RNA
Source: RNAcentral
UACAGAGGGGGCAAGCGUUGUUCGGAAUUACUGGGCGUAAAGGGUGCGUAGGCGGCGCGGUAAGUCGGGUGUGAAAUUUCGAGGCUUAACUUCGAAACUGCAUUCGAUACUGCCGUGCUAGAGGACUGGAGAGGAGACUGGAAUUUACGGUGUAGCGGUGAAAUGCGUAGAUAUCGUAAGGAAGACCAGUGGCGAAGGCGGGUCUCUGGACAGUUCCUGACGCUGAGGCACGAAGGCCAGGGGAGCAAACGGG